Molecule: ribosomal RNA, 419 nt
Filed under: bacterium
Lineage: Bacteria
Description: partial 16S ribosomal RNA
Rfam family: Bacterial small subunit ribosomal RNA
Source: RNAcentral
UGGGGGAUAUUGCACAAUGGGCGCAAGCCUGAUGCAGCGACGCCGCGUGGGGGAUGAAGGCCUUCGGGUUGUAAACUUCUUUUGCUCUGAACAAGGCGCACUUUGGGGUGUGUUGAGUGUAGGGGUUGAUUAGCGCCGGCUAACUACGUGCCAGCAGCCGCGGUAAUACGUAGGGCGCGAGCGUUGUCCGGAAUUAUUGGGCGUAAAGGGCUUGUAGGUGGCUGGUUGCGUCUGUCGUGAAAGCUCAUGGCUUAACUGUGGGUUUGCGGUGGGUACGAGCUGGCUUGAGUGCAGUAGGGGAGGGGGGAAUUCCUGGUGUGGCGGUGGAAUGCGCAGAGAUCAGGAGGAAUACCGGUGGCGAAGGCGGGUCUCUGGGCUGUGACUGACACUGAGGAGCGAAAGCAUGGGGAGCGAAGAGG